GAGUGGAAUUCCACGUGUAGCGGUGAAAUGCGUAGAGAUGUGGAGGAACACCAGUGGCGAAGGCGACUCUCUGGUCUGUAACUGACGCUGAGGAGCGAAAGCGUGGGGAGCGAACAGGAUUAGAUACCCUGGUAGUCCACGCCGUAAACGAUGAGUGCUAAGUGUUAGGGGGUUUCCGCCCCUUAGUGCUGCAGCUAACGCAUUAAGCACUCCGCCUGGGGAGUACGGUCGCAAGACUGAAACUCAAAGGAAUUGACGGGGGCCCGCACAAGCGGUGGAGCAUGUGGUUUAAUUCGAAGCAACGCGAAGAACCUUACCAGGUCUUGACAUCCUCUGACAAUCCUAGAGAUAGGACGUCCCCUUCGGGGGCAGAGUGACAGGUGGUGCAUGGUUGUCGUCAGCUCGUGUCGUGAGAUGUUGGGUUAAGUCCCGCAACGAGCGCAACCCUUGAUCUUAGUUGCCAGCAUUCAGUUGGGCACUCUAAGGUGACUGCCGGUGACAAACCGGAGGAAGGUGGGGAUGACGUCAAAUCAUCAUGCCCCUUAUGACCUGGGCUACACACGUGCUACAAUGGACAGAACAAAGGGCAGCGAAACCGCGAGGUUAAGCCAAUCCCACAAAUCUGUUCUCAGUUCGGAUCGCAGUCUGCA
This 650-nucleotide ribosomal RNA is filed under the name Bacillus subtilis. RNAcentral's name for it is "bacterial SSU rRNA". It matches the Rfam family "Bacterial small subunit ribosomal RNA", at positions 659 to 1309 of the family's 1533-position model. The record is from RNAcentral. Lineage: Bacteria; Bacillati; Bacillota; Bacilli; Caryophanales; Bacillaceae.